Molecule: long non-coding RNA, 812 nt
Organism: Pelodiscus sinensis (Chinese soft-shelled turtle)
Lineage: Eukaryota; Metazoa; Chordata; Testudines; Trionychidae
Source: RefSeq, a predicted model, not a curated record
GCUGACCCAAAGUCAGCAUAUUUUUCACAGCUCCCAUCCAACAGGCCUUUUGGGGGGCGGGGUGGUCUGCCCAGUGCUGCUGUGAUAGGGCUCAUUUAACAUGACACAGCCCUCCCCUUGCCCCAACAUGAGGGCGUUACGGCCCAGCACAAUAAGAGUUAAAUGGUGAUUGAAACUCCUGAAACUGAAUCUGAGGCAUUUUUUUAAUCCACAUCUGGUGUCAAGACAGCCCCCGGGCUCCAUUGUCCGGUGCCAGUCAGGUCCAUAGGAUGUCUGUCAAAAAGUGGAUUUCCAUGUUUGCAGCAAAGCUUUUUUAGCAGGAAGAAAUGACUUUAGCAUACGGUGCAAGAAGGGCGACGCUUGAAGGGAGCGCCAGCAGGGACAUCCUGUGGUCGGAAACGGAACUGCGCAGCAAGGUUGGGCCACCUGGAACAAUGCCUUUGUUGUCCCCACAGAGCAGUGGAAGCCAGGGAAUCAAGAGCAAGAAGACCCUGAAGAGCGAUAAGAAGCAGAAAAUACAUAAUUGAUCAAAGGAAGCAGCAAAUAGUUAAUCCAUGGCAUUCACUGCCUCAUAGAACUUCUAGAAACAGAAGAAGAGAGCUUCUGUCAUUAAGAAGAGGACCAAAGAGGAAGUAUAGACCAAAACAGCCUAACAUCAAUGAUGUGACUUACAUAGCGCCAAGAGUGGUCUCAGCUCUGCGCCAGGAGCCUCUGAGGACAUCGACAAGCAUUUGCAGUGAGAGGGGAUGAGUGUCCCAGCCCAGAUCAAUAGACUUGGGGGUAGCGGGCUCACGCUAGCGCUCUAAAAAGAC